This 468-nucleotide ribosomal RNA is filed under the name uncultured bacterium. RNAcentral's name for it is "partial 16S ribosomal RNA". It matches the Rfam family "Bacterial small subunit ribosomal RNA", at positions 28 to 507 of the family's 1533-position model. The record is from RNAcentral.
GACGAACGCUGGCGGCGUGCUUAACACAUGCAAGUCGAACGGAAAGGCCCUGCUUUUGUGGGGUGCUCGAGUGGCGAACGGGUGAGUAACACGUGAGUAACCUGCCCUUGACUUUGGGAUAACUUCAGGAAACUGGGGCUAAUACCGGAUAUGAGCUCCUGCUGCAUGGUGGGGGUUGGAAAGUUUCGGCGGUUGGGGAUGGACUCGCGGCUUAUCAGCUUGUUGGUGGGGUAGUGGCUUACCAAGGCUUUGACGGGUAGCCGGCCUGAGAGGGUGACCGGCCACAUUGGGACUGAGAUACGGCACAGACUCCUACGGGAGGCAGCAGUGGGGAAUAUUGCACAAUGGGCGGAAGCCUGAUGCAGCAACGCCGCGUGCGGGAUGACGGCCUUCGGGUUGUAAACCGCUUUCGCCUGUGACGAAGCGUGAGUGACGGUAAUGGGUAAAGAAGCACCGGCUAACUACGUG